This 88-nucleotide transfer RNA is filed under the name compost metagenome. RNAcentral describes it as "tRNA-Ser". It matches the Rfam family "tRNA". Rfam says of the family: Transfer RNA (tRNA) molecules are approximately 80 nucleotides in length. Their secondary structure includes four short double-helical elements and three loops (D, anti-codon, and T loops). The record is from RNAcentral.
GGAGGCGUGGCUGAGUGGUUUAAAGCACUCGCUUCGAAAGUGAGCAAACCGCAAGGUUUCGUGGGUUCAAAUCCUACCGCCUCCGCCA